AGUAAAGUCAGCUAAUUAAGCUCUUGGGCCCAUACCCCAAAAAUGUUGGUUAAACCCUUCCUUUACUA
This 68-nucleotide transfer RNA is filed under the name Mesalina olivieri. RNAcentral's name for it is "tRNA-Met". It matches the Rfam family "tRNA". Rfam says of the family: Transfer RNA (tRNA) molecules are approximately 80 nucleotides in length. Their secondary structure includes four short double-helical elements and three loops (D, anti-codon, and T loops). Lineage: Eukaryota; Metazoa; Chordata; Lepidosauria; Squamata; Lacertidae. RNAcentral also lists the same sequence under 1 other name. The record is from RNAcentral.